UCAUCUUCGGGGGUAGAGCACUGUUUCGGCUAGGGGGUCAUCCCGACUUACCAACCCGAUGCAAACUACGAAUACCGAAGAAUGUUAUCACGGGAGACACACGGCGGGUGCUAACGUCCGUCGUGAAGAGGGAAACAACCCAGACCGCCAGCUAAGGUCCCAAAGUCAUGGUUAAGUGGGAAACGAUGUGGGAAGGCCCAGACAGCCAGGAUGUUGGCUUAGAAGCAGCCAUCAUUUAAAGAAAGCGUAAUAGCUCACUGGUCGAGUCGGCCUGCGCGGAAGAUGUAACGGGGCUAAACCAUGCACCGAAGCUGCGGCAGCGACACUAUGUGUUGUUGGGUAGGGGAGCGUUCUGUAAGCCGUUGAAGGUGGCCUGUGAGGGUUGCUGGAGGUAUCAGAAGUGCGAAUGCUGACAUAAGUAACGAUAAUGCGGGUGAAAAACCCGCACGCCGGAAGACCAAGGGUUCCUGUCCAACGUUAAUCGGGGCAGGGUGAGUCGACCCCUAAGGCGAGGCCGAAAGGCGUAGUCGAUGGGAAACAGGUUAAUAUUCCUGUACUUGGUGUUACUGCGAAGGGGGGACGGAGAAGGCUAUGUUGGCCGGGCGACGGUUGUCCCGGUUUAAGCAUGUAGGCGGAUGUUCCAGGUAAAUCCGGAACGUCACUAACGCUGAGGUGUGAUGACGAGGCACUACGGUGCUGAAGUGACAAAUGCCCUGCUUCCAGGAAAAGCCUCUAAGCAUCAGGUAACAUCAAAUCGUACCCCAAACCGACACAGGUGGUCAGGUAGAGAAUACCAAGGCGCUUGAGAGAACUCGGGUGAAGGAACUAGGCAAAAUGGUGCCGUAACUUCGGGAGAAGGCACGCUGAUGGUAGGUGAAGUGACUUGCUCAUGGAGCUGAAAUCAGUCGAAGAUACCAGCUGGCUGCAACUGUUUAUUAAAAACACAGCACUGUGCAAACACGAAAGUGGACGUAUACGGUGUGACGCCUGCCCGGUGCCGGAAGGUUAAUUGAUGGGGUUAUCCUC
This 1026-nucleotide ribosomal RNA is filed under the name Klebsiella oxytoca. RNAcentral describes it as "bacterial LSU rRNA". It matches the Rfam family "Bacterial large subunit ribosomal RNA", at positions 890 to 1897 of the family's 2925-position model. Lineage: Bacteria; Pseudomonadati; Pseudomonadota; Gammaproteobacteria; Enterobacterales; Enterobacteriaceae. The record is from RNAcentral.